Molecule: ribosomal RNA, 506 nt
Filed under: uncultured bacterium
Lineage: Bacteria
Description: partial 16S ribosomal RNA
Rfam family: Bacterial small subunit ribosomal RNA
Source: RNAcentral
AGUGAACGCUGGCGGUAGGCCUAACACAUGCAAGUCGAACGGCAGCACAGGAGAGCUCGCUCUCUGGGUGGCGAGUGGCGGACGGGUGAGGAAUACAUCGGAAUCUACCUUUUCGUGGGGGAUAACGUAGGGAAACUUACGCUAAUACCGCAUACGACCUUCGGGUGAAAGCAGGGGACCUUCGGGCCUUGCGCGGAUAGAUGAGCCGAUGUCGGAUUAGCUAGUUGGCGGGGUAAAGGCCCACCAAGGCGACGAUCCGUAGCUGGUCUGAGAGGAUGAUCAGCCACACUGGAACUGAGACACGGCCCAGACUCCUACGGGAGGCAGCAGUGGGGACUAUUGGACAAUGGGCGCAAGCCUGAUCCAGCCAUACCGCGUGGGUGAAGAAGGCCUUCGGGUUGUAAAGCCCUUUUGUUGGGAAAGAAAAGCAGCCAGUUAAUACCUGGUUGUUCUGACGGUACCCAAAGAAUAAGCACCGGCUAACUUCGUGCCAGCCGCCGCGGUAC